Long non-coding RNA from Sander lucioperca (pikeperch), 1601 nucleotides. RefSeq lists it as uncharacterized. The record is from RefSeq and is a predicted model, not a curated record. The transcript is spliced from 2 exons. NCBI's taxonomy places the organism in Eukaryota, Metazoa, Chordata, Actinopteri, Perciformes, Percidae.
AAUAUCAAAAAGUUACGCACUAAAGCUUUAAAAGUGAAAACAUUCUGGUUUUUAUGUAAGCCAAGCAGAUUUACUUAGAGCUGUCUGAUUUGCCAUUUUUCCCUAUCAUACUAAUACUAGGACUAACAAAGCUAGCUCCAUGCAAUACAAGGACCAAUGCUGCUUCUUUAGGAUGCUGACUUUCUGCCAUGUUAGCCUCAGUGUUUUGACAAAAUAUACUGUAUGUAAGAUGGAAAAAGACUUGUUCAUUUUUUUUUAGAAGAUAAAUCGAGGACACAUAAAAAAGUCCUAAACCUUUAAACUGAUGUUAGCUUAAUAAGCUAGGUAGAUAUAGCUGAUGUUAUUUCAGCCAGCAAAACCGACAGUCCCGGCUAGAAAUGAGAAGCAGCAUUUGUCUAGUAUAAUUAAUAAAAAAAUAAUGUUUGAGUUGUAAUGUUAACAUUGUACUGUAAAUGCCAUGCAACAACGGAAAGCUUGACAGACCUAGAAGCUGCUGGGCUUAGUAAACGGUAAAUUUAUAUUUAAGAAAAAAACGCCUUGCAUGCACGCUCCCAACCGCACAUUGUAUUUUCAAAUGGAGCGAUGUUCGGGCUGUGCCCUCCUGUGCCUACUGAACUGGUAUCAGUGUUUUACCUAAAAACUGGCUCAGUUCAGCAGGAACAGGAGUGAAGUCCACUGUCAGCGGGAUCUCUGUCCUGUGUUACCUUACCAUCUUCCACUGAACACGCAGCACGACAGCCCAACCCAGAUUCAACAUUUCUUUUGCAAUGCUCUCAUGUUAAGUUGACCACACCCAGCACAGAGCGGUGUGGGGAAUAUGCCUCGAGUUAUUGGCCCUGAUAAAAAUCAAACCCGAGCCCUCCAACCUGUCAGACGACGGCACUGAACCCUGAAGUGUAUGCAAAGCGGUGCAGCUCAAGUUUUAGAUGACUGUCCCCUUUCUUUGCUUAAACAUGAAUGUUUCAUGAGCAGAUUUACCAUUUAUGCUUGACAGGUAGGCCCUGGCGUCCAGAGCCAUUGUGUUAAUACUGUUACAUACUGAUGUCGUUGAUCUUGUUGUUUUGCUCAGCCUUCAUGUUUAUUUCAGCAUUCUUCCCUUGAAAAAGCUGCAAACAUGGCUCACUCUUUGCCAAUGCCUCUCUCUUUUUUCUGUCUCUCUGUGCUGUCAAAGGCCACAUUGACACUGGAGUUCAUUGUCAGGUAAUCCCAGUGAAAUGUCUGCUAUGUCUAUGUCUAAUUGAUGUCACCCAGCUGUCCCCAUUAUCAGUGACUAUCAGGGAAUGUGUGCAAUGCUGCUUUCUCCCCACACUCCAGAUAACUCGCAGCCACCAAAGGAAAAGUGCUUCAUCUUGAAGAUUUCAUAUCCACAGGAAAAUGAAUGUUCAUUAGCAAGCAUGAUGAAUCUGCUCUUAUCCGGCAACUCCACUGAUCGUGGUUUUGGCACCAUAAAAUUAGAGAGAUUAUUCUAAAUGUCAGUAAGUUUCUAACUACUUUCAUUGUGGAGCCUUAUUUAUUGUAAUGUUACACGUGCAACCAAAUGUUUAAUUUCAUUACUAAUCCAGCCACAAUGUUAAUGUAAUAAAGUUUAAAUGAGCUGAAAA